GGCAAUGAACUAUGGCUCAAUGGAAGAGCAUCUGCUUGACAUGCAGAAGGUACUGGGUUCAAUUCCUGACAUCGGAUCA
Molecule: transfer RNA, 79 nt
Filed under: Sphaerodactylus townsendi
Lineage: Eukaryota; Metazoa; Chordata; Lepidosauria; Squamata; Sphaerodactylidae
Description: tRNA-Val
Rfam family: tRNA (bases 13-69)
About the family: Transfer RNA (tRNA) molecules are approximately 80 nucleotides in length. Their secondary structure includes four short double-helical elements and three loops (D, anti-codon, and T loops).
Source: RNAcentral